RNAcentral lists this ribosomal RNA (491 nucleotides) under uncultured bacterium. Its description in RNAcentral is "partial 16S ribosomal RNA". It matches the Rfam family "Bacterial small subunit ribosomal RNA", at positions 28 to 507 of the family's 1533-position model. The record is from RNAcentral.
GAUGAACGCUGGCUACAGGCUUAACACAUGCAAGUCGAGGGGAAACGACGGGGAAGCUUGCUUCCCCGGGCGUCGACCGGCGCACGGGUGAGUAACGCGUAUCCAACCUGCCUCUGACUGAGGGAUAACCCGUCGAAAGUCGGCCUAAUACCUCAUGGCAUCGUCUGCGGGCAUCCAACGACGAUUAAAGAUUUCAUCGGUCAGAGAUGGGGAUGCGUCUGAUUAGCUUGUUGGCGGGGUAACGGCCCACCAAGGCGACGAUCAGUAGGGGUUCUGAGAGGAAGGUCCCCCACAUUGGAACUGAGACACGGUCCAAACUCCUACGGGAGGCAGCAGUGAGGAAUAUUGGUCAAUGGGCGAGAGCCUGAACCAGCCAAGUAGCGUGCAGGAUGACGGCCCUAUGGGUUGUAAACUGCUUUUAUGCGGGGAUAAAGUGAGGGACGUGUCCUUCAUUGCAGGUACCGUAUGAAUAAGGACCGGCUAAUUCCGUG